RNAcentral lists this ribosomal RNA (141 nucleotides) under Enterococcus sp. RNAcentral's name for it is "partial 23S ribosomal RNA". It matches the Rfam family "Bacterial large subunit ribosomal RNA", at positions 1958 to 2098 of the family's 2925-position model. The record is from RNAcentral. Lineage: Bacteria; Bacillati; Bacillota; Bacilli; Lactobacillales; Enterococcaceae.
AGCGAAAUUCCUUGGCCAUUAAAUGUGGUCCUGCAUCAAUAGAGUAAUGAUGGCUUUGCUGUCUCACCUAGUAUCUCAGUGAAAUUGAAUUAACCGUGAAGAUGCGGUUUACGCUCGGGUAGACGGGAAGACCCUAUGCAG